RNAcentral lists this long non-coding RNA (485 nucleotides) under Ricinus communis (castor bean). Its description in RNAcentral is "long non-coding RNA (RCOM_LNC001068)". Lineage: Eukaryota; Viridiplantae; Streptophyta; Magnoliopsida; Malpighiales; Euphorbiaceae. The record is from RNAcentral.
UGGGCACAGAGAGUCACCAACACCAUCACCUGAACCUUCAAAACCUACUUCACCAACGACAUCACCAUCACCAUCUCCUGAACCUUCAGAACCUACUCCACCAGCGACAUCACCAUCACCAUCUUCUGAACCUUCAGAACCUACUUCACCGACAACAUCACCAUCACCAUCUUCCGAGCCUUUAGAAUCUACUCCACCAACAACAUCACCAUCACUAUCUCCCGAGCCUUCAGAACCUACUUCACCGACAACAUCACCAUCACCAUCUCCUGAGCCUUCAGAACCUACUUCACCAACAACAUCACCAUCACCUGAAUAUAACUCAUCAGAACCGUCACCAACCCCAUCUCCAGAGUCAGAGCCUCAAUCACCAACAUCAACACCUUCUCCUGAAUCUCCUCUCUCAUCACCAACUUCACCAACUCUUGAACAAUCUCCAUCACCACCAGGCCAGUCACCUCCUCCCACAACUCCUGAACAAUCUC